UGAAUCCUAGGACCCAGAAUAAGGAUUCUCUAGAGGACAGUGUUUCUACCUCUCCAGACCCAAUUCUGACACUGUCUGCUCCCCCUGUAGUGCCAGGCUUCUGUUGCACAGUUGGAGUGGACUGGAAGUCUCUCACUACUCCGGCGUGCCUCCCCCUUACCACCGACUACUUCCCUGACCGCCAGGGCCUGCAGAAUGACUACACAGAGGGCUGUUAUGAUCUCCUUCCAGAAGCAGACAUCGACAGGUCAGUGUCAGAGAAAAAGGCAGUUGGCUUGGUUUGUGAGGGUUUCGGAUAUAUCCCACACAUGCAUCAGAACACUGGAUUUGUGCUCGCUUCAGCAACACAUAUAUUAAAAUUGGAACGAUAUAGAGAAGAUUAGCAUGGCCGUUAAAUAAAAAAUUAAAAAAAAA
RNAcentral lists this small RNA (414 nucleotides) under Pan troglodytes (chimpanzee). The record is from RNAcentral. Lineage: Eukaryota; Metazoa; Chordata; Mammalia; Primates; Hominidae.